This 380-nucleotide ribosomal RNA is filed under the name uncultured eukaryote. RNAcentral describes it as "partial 18S ribosomal RNA". It matches the Rfam family "Eukaryotic small subunit ribosomal RNA", at positions 592 to 976 of the family's 1831-position model. The record is from RNAcentral.
CAAUGGCGUAUAUUAAAGUUGUUGCGGUUAAAAAGCUCGUAGUUGGAUUUCUGCUGAGAACGACCGGUCCGCCCUUUGGGUGUGUAUCUGGCUCUUUCUUGGCAUCUUCUUGGUGAACGUUGCUGCACUUGACUGUGUGGAGCGCUACCCAGGACUUUUACUUUGAGGAAAUUAGAGUGUUUCAAGCAGGCAUACGCCUUGAAUACAUUAGCAUGGAAUAAUAAGAUAGGACCUCGGUUCUAUUUUGUUGGUUUCUAGAGCUGAGGUAAUGAUUAAUAGGGAUAGUUGGGGGCAUUCGUAUUUAACUGUCGGAGGUGAAAUUCUUGGAUUUGUUAAAGACGGACUACUGCGAAAGCAUUUGCCAAGGAUGUUUUCAUUGA